Acinonyx jubatus (cheetah) is the source of this 635-nucleotide long non-coding RNA. RefSeq lists it as uncharacterized. The record is from RefSeq and is a predicted model, not a curated record. The transcript has 2 exons. Lineage: Eukaryota; Metazoa; Chordata; Mammalia; Carnivora; Felidae.
GGAUCUCAAAGCUUCACUGACUGAGAAGGGAACUUGCAGAAUCAGAUUCUGCACUGCAUACGGGACGGGGGUAAGAAUUGAGACUCAGGUGUAUAACUUUUUUUGUAAUAGGAAUUCUCCAGUCUGGGUUCCCUAUGUUGGGAUGGAAAGAGCUCUCGGAUAUCCACACCGCAAUAGAACACUUGAGUUCCAGGCUGGAUGCCACCACGUGUUAGAGCUUAGUGGGGUUGACAGACUUUCAAAUUAUUAAUUUUUGAAUACUUGCUGUGUGCCAAAGGACGAGGAACUCAAGAUCGUGGCAGUGGGAAUUAAAGGAGUUCUCUAAGAAGGGUAUUCUCAAGGUUAAACACAAGCCUUGAUUUCGUAACAGGUAUCUGAAUGGGUGAGAGAGUAGUAGUUUGGGUGCACAAACUAUGGUGAUUUAAAAACAAAAUUCUGGGGCGCCUGGGUGGCGCAGUCGGUUAAGCGUCCGACUUCAGCCAGGUCACGAUCUCGCGGUCCGGGAGUUGGAGCCCCGCGUCAGGCUCUGGGCUGAUGGCUCAGAGCCUGGAGCCUGUUUCCGAUUCUGUGUCUCCCUCUCUCUCUGCCCCUCCCCCGUUCAUGCUCUGUCUCUCUCUGUCCCAAAAAUAAAUAAA